Molecule: ribosomal RNA, 549 nt
Filed under: Brevibacterium sp.
Lineage: Bacteria; Bacillati; Actinomycetota; Actinomycetes; Micrococcales; Brevibacteriaceae
Description: bacterial SSU rRNA
Rfam family: Bacterial small subunit ribosomal RNA
Source: RNAcentral
GACUGAGACACGGCCCAGACUCCUACGGGAGGCAGCAGUGGGGAAUAUUGCACAAUGGGGGAAACCCUGAUGCAGCGACGCAGCGUGCGGGAUGACGGCCUUCGGGUUGUAAACCGCUUUCAGCAGGGAAGAAGCGAAAGUGACGGUACCUGCAGAAGAAGUACCGGCUAACUACGUGCCAGCAGCCGCGGUAAUACGUAGGGUACGAGCGUUGUCCGGAAUUAUUGGGCGUAAAGAGCUCGUAGGUGGUUGGUCACGUCUGCUGUGGAAACGCAACGCUUAACGUUGCGCGUGCAGUGGGUACGGGCUGACUAGAGUGCAGUAGGGGAGUCUGGAAUUCCUGGUGUAGCGGUGAAAUGCGCAGAUAUCAGGAGGAACACCGGUGGCGAAGGCGGGACUCUGGGCUGUAACUGACACUGAGGAGCGAAAGCAUGGGGAGCGAACAGGAUUAGAUACCCUGGUAGUCCAUGCCGUAAACGUUGGGCACUAGGUGUGGGGGACAUUCCACGUUCUCCGCGCCGUAGCUAACGCAUUAAGUGCCCCGCCUGG